Molecule: long non-coding RNA, 414 nt
Organism: Sphaerodactylus townsendi
Lineage: Eukaryota; Metazoa; Chordata; Lepidosauria; Squamata; Sphaerodactylidae
Exons: 3
Source: RefSeq, a predicted model, not a curated record
GUAUUUGAGGUUUGUUUGCUUCCAAGAUGAGUUUUGCACUAUUGAAUUGUUUUGCCAGUUCCAGUGGACAUGAAGGGAUUCUGUCUUCCUUCCUGGGAAAGUCCCCCUGUCGAAACAGUCACCGAAAGUGCACCGGCUUGGAGAAGGGAAGAAAAAAAGGCGAUCCUUCAUGGAAAUGUUCCAAGUUCUUCAAGUUACUCAUCAAAGCAUCAAGCCGAAGGCUUCGAGGUGAAAGAAUUAUUCCUUGAGGCACAACUUCUGUGUCAGGAAGAUAGUAAACACUAGACUCAUAAAACAAUAUUUGAAGAAGGAGGGGAGUUUAUAACACCAAGAGUAAGAGAAGGAGAGGGGGGAAAGUCUCUUAUUAGCUACAAAAUAUGCCUCUUCGAUCGCAAUCUCUGACAAGGUACAGUG